RNAcentral lists this ribosomal RNA (433 nucleotides) under uncultured bacterium. Its description in RNAcentral is "partial 16S ribosomal RNA". It matches the Rfam family "Bacterial small subunit ribosomal RNA", at positions 29 to 507 of the family's 1533-position model. The record is from RNAcentral.
AACGAACGCUGGCGGCAUGCCUAACACAUGCCAGUCGAACGAAGGCUUCGGCCUUAGUGGCGCACGGGUGCGUAACGCGUGGGAAUCUGCCCUUUGGUUCGGAAUAACAGCUGGAAACGGCUGCUAAUACCGGAUGAUGACGAAAGUCCAAAGAUUUAUCGCCAGAGGAUGAGCCCGCGUUGGAUUAGGUAGUUGGUGGGGCAAAGGCCUACCAAGCCGACGAUCCAUAGCUGGUCUGAGAGGAUGAUCAGCCACACUGGGACUGAGACACGGCCCAGACUCCUACGGGAGGCAGCAGUGGGGAAUAUUGGACAAUGGGCGCAAGCCUGAUCCAGCAAUGCCGCGUGAGUGAUGAAGGCCCUAGGGUUGUAAAGCUCUUUUACCCGGGAAGAUAAUGACUGUACCGGGAGAAUAAGCCCCGGCUAACUCCGUG